Long non-coding RNA from Raphanus sativus (radish), 618 nucleotides. RefSeq lists it as uncharacterized. NCBI's taxonomy places the organism in Eukaryota, Viridiplantae, Streptophyta, Magnoliopsida, Brassicales, Brassicaceae. The record is from RefSeq and is a predicted model, not a curated record. The transcript is spliced from 5 exons.
UGAAAAACUCCAAUAUCAACAAAACAACCCAAAGCCCAAAUUACAAUAUUCUCUUUCACGGUUCUUUCACCGGUCAAAGAUCUUCGAAAAACAUAUUUCCUCAAAUAUUACUAUCCUUCUCAAAUUAACAAUGAUCCUCUUUUUAACUUCCAAUAUCUUUAUAUAUAAGCUGAUGCGUGCACAAACAACUUCCAAUCUAACUACAACUGGGAUUCUCAUCAAGCUUAGGCUUUUUAUCAUCGAUUAAUAGGUUCACCUGGAUCAAGCUACUGAAGAGACAUGACCAAAAUAAGCUCUACUCAUAAAUGACUUGAGUUCAAGCUUCAAGAUACUGCUAGAGUUUGCCACACCACCAAGUUAAGGAAAUGCCCUUUUGCACAAGUAAAGAGACUACUAGAGAGCAUGUCAUACAUGUGGUUGAACAACCCACAGAGAGAGAGAGAGAGAGAGAGGACAAUUAAAAUAAGAAAAAGUAAAGGAAGCAUUGGAGAAAAAAGAGGCAGCCAUAGCCAGAGGGUUCGUGUCGGCUUCAACCAAACACUGACGGUGUAAAACGUAUCCAAAGUUAAACAGAUUCUCAAAUGGCGGCUAGCAAUCAUCCAUCUGGAAACCUGGAGG